UUUAAUUUGACAGAUUUAAUGUAUCAAAUUUAGAAUUUGAUUAUGGUGAUACCAAUUUUUAAAG
RNAcentral lists this transfer RNA (64 nucleotides) under Stylochyrus rarior. RNAcentral's name for it is "tRNA-Leu". The record is from RNAcentral. Lineage: Eukaryota; Metazoa; Arthropoda; Arachnida; Mesostigmata; Ologamasidae.